Molecule: long non-coding RNA, 951 nt
Organism: Zingiber officinale
Lineage: Eukaryota; Viridiplantae; Streptophyta; Magnoliopsida; Zingiberales; Zingiberaceae
Exons: 2
Source: RefSeq, a predicted model, not a curated record
GCACAGAGCAGGGCAGAAAACGCAGCAACGGCGCCCUAACCUCACGUCUCGCGCCCCGACACCUUCUCCGGCAUCCCUGAGAGCGGAGACCCUCCUGUGACCUCCCUGAGCAGAACCAGCGAUCCGCCGGCGACGACCCUCUUCUCCUACUCCUCCGAGCCCUCGCCCUCUCUCAAAAUCCUCGACCUCUGCCGCCGUUAGACCUCCCUGAGCAGAACCCAGCGAUCCGCCGACGACGACCCUCUUCUCCUACUCCUCCGAGCCCUCGACCUCUGCCGACCUUAGGGCUUAUUUGCAAUAAAAUGAAAGAAAAAUCAUGACAGCCGGCUCAUCAUCAGCAUCAUCUUUCACUCGACGACACAUGAACGACGAGCAAUGUGAAGCUCCCCACAUAUUAUGUUAUCGUGGGUUACGAGCUAUUCUCCAGACAUCAUGGACGGAAUCCAACCCAGGACGGCGAUUUUUUUCAUGUCCAAAUUUUAGAGUAAGUUUUCAUUAUACCAAUAUGGUGUUGUGAGUUUAUUAAUUAUUGAGUUUUGAUUAAGUUUAUUUGAAAUUCAAGAAAGGGAAUGUGGCUUUUUCUUAUGGCAUGACCCAGAACUGUUAGAGAGAAGUAAGACAAUUAUUAAUGAGUUGAAGAGGAAUAAUAAAAAUUAAAGUUACAGAUUAGUAAAUUGGAGAAAAGUAUUAGCUACAAGGGUGCUGUUGAAUACAAUGAUGUUCUUGAUGAUGGGAAUAACAAUCAUGUAAUUAUGUAGUUCAAUGACGAAAUAUAUUCAUUGAAUAGGAAAUUUGCAGUUGCUAUCGUUGUAGUUAUAUGUACCUAGAUUGUGAUGAUGUGGAUGUGGUUGAUGUAACUUAUUUUGUGAUGUAACUUGACAUUUGGAUGUAACUCUAAGUGAUGUAACUUGUUUUGUUAUACAAAGUGAACUAGUUCUGUUAUGAUUUUUA